AAUUAACGCUGGCAGAGUGCAUAACACAUGCAAGUCGAGCGAGACUACUUGAGAUUACAUCAACUGGUAGUCUAGCGGCAGACGAGUGAGUAACACGUAGACAAUCUGCCCCCGAAGGUAGAUAACGCGCCGAAAGGCGUGCUAAUGCGCCGUACUAUCCACUGCGGCAUCGUCGAGGGAGUGAGAGGCCGCAAGGGCCGGUUCGGGGAGGAGUCNGCGACCCAUCAGCUAGUUGGCGGUGUAAUAGACCACCAAGGCUAUGACGGGUACCCGGCCU
Molecule: ribosomal RNA, 277 nt
Filed under: uncultured bacterium
Lineage: Bacteria
Description: partial 16S ribosomal RNA
Rfam family: Bacterial small subunit ribosomal RNA
Source: RNAcentral